RNAcentral lists this ribosomal RNA (440 nucleotides) under uncultured bacterium. Its description in RNAcentral is "partial 16S ribosomal RNA". It matches the Rfam family "Bacterial small subunit ribosomal RNA", at positions 338 to 795 of the family's 1533-position model. The record is from RNAcentral.
CCUACGGGAGGCAGCAGUGGGGAAUAUUGCACAAUGGGGGGAACCCUGAUGCAGCGACGCCGCGUGAGUGAAGAAGUAUUUCGGUAUGUAAAGCUCUAUCAGCAGGGACGAAAAUGACGGUACCUGACUAAGAAGCCACGGCUAACUACGUGCCAGCAGCCGCGGGAAUACGUAGGGGGCCAGCGUUAUCCGGAUUUACUGGGUGUAAAGGGAGCGCAGACGGCUGUGCAAGUCUGGAGUGAAAGGCGGGGGCCCAACCCCGGGACGGCUCUGGAAACUGUAAAGCUGGAGUGCAGGAGAGGUAAGCGGAAUUCCUAGUGUAGCGGUGAAAUGCGUAGAUAUUAGGAGGAACACCAGUGGCGAAGGCGGCUUACUGGACUGUAACUGACGUUGAGGCUCGAAAGCGUGGGGAGCAAACAGGAUUAGAUACCCGAGUAGUC